CCUACGGGAGGCAGCAGUGAGGAAUAUUGGUCAAUGGACGGAAGUCUGAACCAGCCAAGUAGCGUGAAGGAUGACUGCCCUACGGGUUGUAAACUUCUUUUAUAAAGGAGUAAAGUGAGGCACGUGUGCCUUUUUGUAUUUACUUUAUGAAUAAGGCUCGGCUAACUCCGUUCCAGCAACCGCGGUAAUACGGAGGAUCCGAGCGUUAUCCGGAUUUAUUUGGUUUAAAGGGAUCGUAGGCGGACGGUUAAGUCAGCGGUAAAAGUCCGGGGCUCAACCCCGGUGAGCCGUUGAAACUGGCUGUCUUGAGAUGUCGAGAGGUAUGUGGAAUGCGCAGUGUAGCGGUGAAAUGCUUAGAUAUUGCGCAGAACUCCGAUUGCGAAGGCAGCAUACCGGCGGCGAUCUGACGCUGAGGCACGAAAGCGUGGGUAUCGAACAGGAUUAGAUACCCCAGUAGUC
This 459-nucleotide ribosomal RNA is filed under the name uncultured bacterium. Its description in RNAcentral is "partial 16S ribosomal RNA". It matches the Rfam family "Bacterial small subunit ribosomal RNA", at positions 338 to 795 of the family's 1533-position model. The record is from RNAcentral.